This 339-nucleotide long non-coding RNA is filed under the name Coturnix japonica (Japanese quail). Its description in RNAcentral is "lncRNA (ENSCJPG00005020669.1)". The record is from RNAcentral. Lineage: Eukaryota; Metazoa; Chordata; Aves; Galliformes; Phasianidae.
CUCUGUAAUAAAUGUUAAAUCACUGGAAGCCUUUCCUGUUUAAACAGCACUGGAUGCAUCUCUGCCUGUAUUAUGAUACAUUUCCAUGUUAUUAUAUAUUCCCAGAUGUCAUUCCCAGAGCUUUACAAGCUGCUCCAGAUUGCAGGCUGCGUUUCCCACCCAGCUGCCAUGGGGCCGUGCCACCAGGGUGAAUAAUUCACCUACGUUCAGAGCACACGCCUUUACAAAGCUCUCUGUGAUUGCACUGGGCACUGUGGGAUGCUGACACAUCCUCCUAGAUACAUCCCUCUUGGCUGGAUUAGUCACAUUGCAAGAUUUAAAGGGAAAAAAGAACACGAC